This 465-nucleotide ribosomal RNA is filed under the name Vreelandella stevensii. RNAcentral's name for it is "partial 16S ribosomal RNA". It matches the Rfam family "Bacterial small subunit ribosomal RNA", at positions 338 to 795 of the family's 1533-position model. The record is from RNAcentral. Lineage: Bacteria; Pseudomonadati; Pseudomonadota; Gammaproteobacteria; Oceanospirillales; Halomonadaceae.
CCUACGGGAGGCAGCAGUGGGGAAUAUUGGACAAUGGGGGGAACCCUGAUCCAGCCAUGCCGCGUGUGUGAAGAAGGCCCUCGGGUUGUAAAGCACUUUCAGUGAGGAAGAACGCCUGGUGGUUAAUACCCAUCAGGAAAGACAUCACUCACAGAAGAAGCACCGGCUAACUCCGUGCCAGCAGCCGCGGUAAUACGGAGGGUGCGAGCGUUAAUCGGAAUUACUGGGCGUAAAGCGCGCGUAGGUGGCUUGAUAAGCCGGUUGUGAAAGCCCCGGGCUCAACCUGGGAACGGCAUCCGGAACUGUCAAGCUAGAGUGCAGGAGAGGAAGGUAGAAUUCCCGGUGUAGCGGUGAAUUGCGUAGAGAUCGGGAGGAAUACCAGUGGCGAAGGCGGCCUUCUGGACUGACACUGACACUGAGGUGCGAAAGCGUGGGUAGCAAACAGGAUUAGAUACCCGAGUAGUC